AGGAGGGGAGGAAGAAAGAAAAAAUGAAAGGAAGAAAGGAAGAAAGAAAGAAACGAAUUACUCUAUGAUGUUUAAAAGAGCAGAGCAGCAGAUCCCUCUCCAGGGAAAACCCCACUUAUAUCCUCACAGCAAUUUCCUUGACUGCAUCCUGUGUCUUAGUGAUAUGUAGGACAUUAUAAUCAUAAUAUUUAUCUAAGAAAGCUUUGUGUACUUGUCUUUGAGAUGAAGAACUCUACAUUCAUGGAUAGUAUUGUUUGUGAGGACAACAAUGAAGAAAGCCCUACAAAUGACCAAGCUCAGAUUGAAAAUAAUUUUGAUCAUCUUUUGUCACACAUGAGACUGAAGAUGAUAAUAUUUGGAGGUGAUAAAGCUGUGAGAACCCAUUAUCUAAUCCUGAGCGUUUAAUAAAGGAGGCUUCAGAGGUCCAAGGAUGAAGAAAUACUUCAAAGUGACCUAAUGAUGCUGAACGCUCACAAGCAGAAUAUGUUGCCUUGUUGCCAUGGUGCCACGUUCUCCUCUUGUUCUCUCUUUCAUUGUCUGUAUCCAAGUUUCUGCCUCAAGCUUUGAUAAAGUAUUGCUCUCA
This is a long non-coding RNA of Peromyscus leucopus (white-footed mouse), 583 nucleotides long. RefSeq lists it as uncharacterized. NCBI's taxonomy places the organism in Eukaryota, Metazoa, Chordata, Mammalia, Rodentia, Cricetidae. The record is from RefSeq and is a predicted model, not a curated record. The transcript is spliced from 2 exons.